Molecule: ribosomal RNA, 467 nt
Filed under: uncultured bacterium
Lineage: Bacteria
Description: partial 16S ribosomal RNA
Rfam family: Bacterial small subunit ribosomal RNA
Source: RNAcentral
GACGAACGCUGGCGGCGUGCUUAACACAUGCAAGUCGAGCGGAAAGGCCCUGCUUUUGUGGGGUGCUCGAGUGGCGAACGGGUGAGUAACACGUGAGUAACCUGCCCUUGACUUUGGGAUAACUUAAGGAAACUGGGGCUAAUACCGGAUAGGAGCUCCGGCUGCAGGGGGGGGGUGGGAAAGUUUCGGCGGUUGGGGAUGGACUCGCGGCUUAUCAGCUUGUUGGUGGGGUGGUGGCUUACCAAGGCUUUGACGGGUAGCCGGCCUGAGAGGGUGACCGGCCACAUUGGGACUGAGAUACGGCCCAGACUCCUACGGGAGGCAGCAGUGGGGAAUAUUGCACAAUGGGCGGAAGCCUGAUGCAGCAACGCCGCGUGCGGGAUGACGGCCUUCGGGUUGUAAACCGCUUUCGCCUGUGACGAAGCGUGAGUGACGGUAAUGGGUAAAGAAGCACCGGCGAACUACGU